UGAUUGGGCCCGGGGGGCCUACGGGGGGCAGCAGUAGGGAAAUAUUGCCAAUGGGGGAAAACCUGACGGAGCAACAUGCGCGUGAGAAAGACGGCCUUCGGGGGUAAAGCUAUGUUAUAUGGACGAACGGGCGUAUGGUCAAUACCCAUACGCCGUGACGUAC
Molecule: ribosomal RNA, 163 nt
Filed under: uncultured bacterium
Lineage: Bacteria
Description: partial 16S ribosomal RNA
Source: RNAcentral